This 253-nucleotide ribosomal RNA is filed under the name uncultured bacterium. Its description in RNAcentral is "partial 16S ribosomal RNA". It matches the Rfam family "Bacterial small subunit ribosomal RNA", at positions 524 to 776 of the family's 1533-position model. The record is from RNAcentral.
UACGUAGGGGGCAAGCGUUGUCCGGAAUUAUUGGGCGUAAAGAGCGUGUAGGCGGCCAGGUAGGUCUGCUGUGAAAACUCGAGGCUUAACCUCGAGCUGUCGGCGGAAACCAUCUGGCUAGAGUCCGGAAGAGGAGAAUGGAAUUCCCGGUGUAGCGGUGAAAUGCGCAGAUAUCGGGAAGAACACCCGUGGCGAAGGCGGUUCUCUGGGACGGUACUGACGCUGAGACGCGAAAGCGUGGGGAGCGAACAGG